RNAcentral lists this ribosomal RNA (1372 nucleotides) under uncultured bacterium. Its description in RNAcentral is "bacterial SSU rRNA". It matches the Rfam family "Bacterial small subunit ribosomal RNA", at positions 28 to 1381 of the family's 1533-position model. The record is from RNAcentral.
GAUAAACGCUGGCGGCGUGCCUAAUACAUGCAAGUCGAGCGAACGGACGAGAAGCUUGCUUCUCUGAUGUUAGCGGCGGACGGGUGAGUAACACGUGGAUAACCUACCUAUAAGACUGGGAUAACUUCGGGAGACCGGAGCUAAUACCGGAUAAUAUUUUGAACCGCAUGGUUCAAAAGUGAAAGACGGUCUUGCUGUCACUUAUAGAUGGAUCCGCGCUGCAUUAGCUAGUUGGUAAGGUAACGGCUUACCAAGGCAACGAUGCAUAGCCGACCUGAGAGGGUGAUCGGCCACACUGGAACUGAGACACGGUCCAGACUCCUACGGGAGGCAGCAGUAGGGAAUCUUCCGCAAUGGGCGAAAGCCUGACGGAGCAACGCCGCGUGAGUGAUGAAGGUCUUCGGAUCGUAAAACUCUGUUAUUAGGGAAGAACAUAUGUGUAAGUAACUGUGCACAUCUUGACGGUACCUAAUCAGAAAGCCACGGCUAACUACGUGCCAGCAGCCGCGGUAAUACGUAGGUGGCAAGCGUUAUCCGGAAUUAUUGGGCGUAAAGCGCGCGUAGGCGGUUUUUUAAGUCUGAUGUGAAAGCCCACGGCUCAACCGUGGAGGGUCAUUGGAAACUGGAAAACUUGAGUGCAGAAGAGGAAAGUGGAAUUCCAUGUGUAGCGGUGAAAUGCGCAGAGAUAUGGAGGAACACCAGUGGCGAAGGCGACUUUCUGGUCUGUAACUGACGCUGAUGUGCGAAAGCGUGGGGAUCAAACAGGAUUAGAUACCCUGGUAGUCCACGCCGUAAACGAUGAGUGCUAAGUGUUAGGGGGUUUCCGCCCCUUAGUGCUGCAGCUAACGCAUUAAGCACUCCGCCUGGGGAGUACGACCGCAAGGUUGAAACUCAAAGGAAUUGACGGGGACCCGCACAAGCGGUGGAGCAUGUGGUUUAAUUCGAAGCAACGCGAAGAACCUUACCAAAUCUUGACAUCCUUUGACAACUCUAGAGAUAAAGCCUUCUCCUUCGGGGGACAAAGUGACAGGUGGUGCAUGGUUGUCGUCAGCUCGUGUCGUGAGAUGUUGGGUUAAGUCCCGCAACGAGCGCAACCCUUAAGCUUAGUUGCCAUCAUUAAGUUGGGCACUCUAAGUUGACUGCCGGUGACAAACCGGAGGAAGGUGGGGAUGACGUCAAAUCAUCAUGCCCCUUAUGAUUUGGGCUACACACGUGCUACAAUGGACAAUACAAAGGGCAGCGAAACCGCGAGGUCAAGCAAAUCCCAUAAAGUUGUUCUCAGUUCGGAUUGUAGUCUGCAACUCGACUACAUGAAGCUGGAAUCGCUAGUAAUCGUAGAUCAGCAUGCUACGGUGAAUACGUUCCCGGGUCU